This 33-nucleotide transfer RNA is filed under the name Hemiselmis rufescens. RNAcentral's name for it is "partial Selenocysteine transfer RNA". Lineage: Eukaryota; Cryptophyceae; Cryptomonadales; Hemiselmidaceae. The record is from RNAcentral.
GGAUGGUCUCUGGUCGAGGUUGCAGUCUUCAAA